Molecule: ribosomal RNA, 653 nt
Filed under: uncultured Alphaproteobacteria bacterium
Lineage: Bacteria; Pseudomonadati; Pseudomonadota; Alphaproteobacteria
Description: bacterial SSU rRNA
Rfam family: Bacterial small subunit ribosomal RNA
Source: RNAcentral
AGAGGUUUGAUCCUGGCUCAGAACGAACGCUGGCGGCAUGCCUAACACAUGCAAGUCGAACGAGACCUUCGGGUCUAGUGGCGCACGGGUGCGUAACGCGUGGGAAUCUACCCUUGGGUUCGGAAUAACAGCGAGAAAAUUGCUGCUAAUACCGGAUGAUGGCUUCGGCCCAAAGAUUUAUCGCCCAGGGAUGAGCCCGCGUAGGAUUAGCUUGUUGGUGAGGUAAAGGCUCACCAAGGCGACGAUCCUUAGCUGGUCUGAGAGGAUGAUCAGCCACACUGGGACUGAGACACGGCCAGACUCCUACGGGAGGCAGCAGUGGGGAAUAUUGGACAAUGGGCGAAAGCCUGAUCCAGCAAUGCCGCGUGAGUGAUGAAGGCCUUAGGGUUGUAAAGCUCUUUUACCCGGGAUGAUAAUGACAGUACCGGGAGAAUAAGCUCCGGCUAACUCCGUGCCAGCAGCCGCGGUAAUACGGAGGGAGCUAGCGUUGUUCGGAAUUACUGGGCGUAAAGCGCACGUAGGCGGCUAUUCAAGUCAGAGGUGAAAGCCCGGAGCUCAACUCCGGAAUUGCCUUUGAAACUAGAUAGCUAGAAUCUGGGAGAGGUGAGUGGAAUUCCGAGUGUAGAGGUGAAAUUCGUAGAUAUUCGGGAAGA